Molecule: ribosomal RNA, 301 nt
Filed under: uncultured bacterium
Lineage: Bacteria
Description: partial 16S ribosomal RNA
Rfam family: Bacterial small subunit ribosomal RNA
Source: RNAcentral
CAGCCGCCGCGGUAAUACGUAGGUGGCGAGCGUUGUCCGGAAUCAUUGGGCGUAAAGGGAGCGCAGGCGGGCAAGUAAGUCUUUCUUAAAAGUGCGGGGCUCAACCCCGUGAUGGGAAAGAAACUACAUGUCUUGAGUACAGGAGAGGAAAGCGGAAUUCCCAGUGUAGCGGUGAAAUGCGUAGAUAUUGGGAGGAACACCAGUGGCGAAGGCGGCUUUCUGGACUGCAACUGACGCUGAGGCUCGAAAGCCAGGGGAGCGAACGGGAUUAGAUACCCCAGUAGUCCCUGUCUCUUAUACC